This 484-nucleotide ribosomal RNA is filed under the name uncultured bacterium. RNAcentral's name for it is "partial 16S ribosomal RNA". It matches the Rfam family "Bacterial small subunit ribosomal RNA", at positions 30 to 507 of the family's 1533-position model. The record is from RNAcentral.
AUUGAACGCUGGCGGCAGGCCUAACACAUGCAAGUCGAGCGGAUGAAGGGAGCUUCCUCCUGGUUUGCUCAGCGGACGGGUACGGGAGGCCUAGGAAUCUGCCAGGGAGUGGUGGAUAGCGUCCGGAACCGGACACUGAUACCGCAUACGCACUGCGUGAGAAGAUGAAGGAUCUUCGGCCCUCACGCUCUCGCAUGCGCCUAGGUCGGAUUAGCUAGUUGGUGGGGUAAAGGCCUACCUAGGCGACGAUCCGUAACUGGUCUGAGAGGAUGAGCAGCCACACUGGAACUGAGACACGGUCCAGACUCCUACGGGAGGCAGCAGUGGGGAAUAUUGCACAAUGGGCGAAAGCCUGAUCCAGCCAUGCCGCGUGUGUGAAGAAGGUCUUCGGAUUGUAAAGCACUUUAAGCUGGGAGGAAGGGAAGUAAGUUAAUACCUUGCUGUAUUGACGUUACCAACAGAAGAAGCACCGGCUAACUUCGUG